ACGGAUGUCACCUUCGCCUCUGACAUCUCGGCACUCUGGGCACUCUUCGCUCACUUUUCUGGUGAGACGCCUGGGAGCCUGCCUGGCCUGCCCAGGACCCCUGCAUCUAGCCCUGAGCCCAGGUCCUGUGGCAGCCUCAGUCAGCUCCCUUAUGCCCUCCCCUCCCAGACACGCAGGCGAUCGGUCUCGUGGAGAACCAGAGUGACUGGUACCUGGGCAACCUCUGGAAGAACCACAGGCCCUGGCCUGCCUUGGGCCGGGGAUUUAACACAGGACAUAUUCAACGCUGUGAUCAAGGAGCACCCGGGGCUAGUGCGGCGUCUGCCUUGUGUCUGGAAUGUGCAGCUGUCAGAUCACACACUGGCCGAGCGCUGCUACUCUGAGGCGUCUGACCUCAAGGUGAUCCACUGGAACUCACCAAAGAAGCUUCGGGUGAAGAACAAGCAUGUGGAAUUCUUCCGCAAUUUCUACCUGACCUUCCUGGGGUACGAUGGGAACCUGCUGCGGAGAGAGCUCUUUGUGUGCCCCAGCCAGCCCCCGCCUGGUGCUGAGCAGUUGCAGCAGGCCCUGGCACAACUGGACGAGGAAGAUCCCUGCUUUGAGUUCCGGCAGCAGCAGCUCACUGUGCACCGUGUGCACGUCACUUUCCUGCCCCAUGAACCGCCACCCCCCCGG
This 675-nucleotide small RNA is filed under the name Pongo abelii (Sumatran orangutan). Its description in RNAcentral is "retained intron". The record is from RNAcentral. Lineage: Eukaryota; Metazoa; Chordata; Mammalia; Primates; Hominidae.